RNAcentral lists this ribosomal RNA (484 nucleotides) under uncultured bacterium. RNAcentral describes it as "partial 16S ribosomal RNA". It matches the Rfam family "Bacterial small subunit ribosomal RNA", at positions 30 to 507 of the family's 1533-position model. The record is from RNAcentral.
AUUGAACGCUGGCGGCAUGCUUUACACAUGCAAGUCGAACGGCAGCACGGGCUUCGGCCUGGUGGCGAGUUGCGAACGGGUGAGUAAUAUAUCGGAACGUACCCAGAAGUGGGGGAUAACGUAGCGAAAGUUACGCUAAUACCGCAUACGAUCUAUGGAUGAAAGCAGGGGACCGCAAGGCCUUGUGCUCCUUGAGCGGCCGAUAUCUGAUUAGCUAGUUGGUGAGGUAAAGGCUCACCAAGGCGACGAUCAGUAGCUGGUCUGAGAGGACGACCAGCCACACUGGAACUGAGACACGGUCCAGACUCCUACGGGAGGCAGCAGUGGGGAAUUUUGGACAAUGGGCGCAAGCCUGAUCCAGCAAUGCCGCGUGAGUGAAGAAGGCCUUCGGGUUGUAAAGCUCUUUUGUCAGGGAAGAAACGGUAGAGGCUAAUAUCCUUUGCUAAUGACGGUACCUGAAGAAUAAGCACCGGCUAACUACGUG